Molecule: ribosomal RNA, 498 nt
Filed under: uncultured bacterium
Lineage: Bacteria
Description: partial 16S ribosomal RNA
Rfam family: Bacterial small subunit ribosomal RNA
Source: RNAcentral
GAUGAACGCUGGCGGCGUGCCUAAUACAUGCAAGUCGAGCGAACAGACGAGGAGCUUGCUCCUCUGACGUUAGCGGCGGACGGGUGAGUAACACGUGGAUAACCUACCUAUAAGACUGGGAUAACUUCGGGAAACCGGAGCUAAUACCGGAUAAUAUAUUGAACCGCAUGGUUCAAUAGUGAAAGACGGUUUUGCUGUCACUUAUAGAUGGAUCCGCGCCGCAGUAGCUCGUUGGUAAGGUAACGGCUUACCAAGGCAACGAUGCGUAGCCGACCUGAGAGGGCGAUCGGGCACCACGGGACCGAGACUAGGUCCAAACUCCUUAGGGAAGCAGCAGUACGGUAUCGUUCGCGAUGGGCGCAAGCUUGACGGAGCUACGCCGCGUCGCUGACGCAUGUCUUCGGGUCGUCAAACUAUGUUACUAGGGAAACAACAAUUUGUAAGUUAAUAUGCCCGUCUUCUCCGUACCUUAACAGGAAGCCACGGCUAAAUCCGGGC